ACUCCUACGGGAGGCAGCAGUGAGGAAUCUUCCACAAUGGACGAAAGUCUGAUGGAGCGACACCGCGUGAAGGAUGAAGGCCUAACGGUUGUAAACUUCUUUUCUGAAGGAGCAUAAUGAGAGUACUUCAGGAAUAAGGGACGGCUAAUUACGUGCCAGCAGCCGCGGUAAUACGUAAGUCCCGAGUGUUACCCGGAAUCAUUGGGUGUAAAGGGUUCGUAGGCGGAAAGAUAAGUUGGAUAUUAAAGACCGAGGCUCAACCUCGUGUUUGUGUUCAAAACUAUCUAUCUAGAAUUAGGGAGAGGUAAGCGGAAUUCUAAGUGUAGGAGUGCAAUCCGUAGAUACUUAGAGGAACACCAAAAGCGAAGGCAGCUUACUGGAACUAUAUUGACGCUGAUGAACGAAAGCGUGGGUAGCGAAAAGGAUUAGAUACCCUUGUAGUCCACGCCCUAAACGAUGAUAACUAAGUGUUGGGACUAGAUCUCAGUGCUGAAGCUAACGCAUUAAGUUAUCCACCUGAGGAGUACGGUCGCAAGAUUAAAACUCAAAGGAAUAGACGGGGACCCACACAAGCAGUGGAUCACGUGGUUUAAUUCGAUAAUAAACGGGGAACCUUACCCAGACUUGACAUCCUAGGAAUCCUUUAGAGAUAGAGGAGUGCUUUUAUUAGAACCUAGUGACAGGUGCUGCAUGGUUGUCGUCAGCUCGUGCCUUGAGGUGUUCGGUUAAGUCCGUUAACGAGCGCAACCCAUGUCUUUAGUUAUUAUGUCUAAAGAGACUGCCUUGGUUAACAAGGAGGAAGGUGUGGAUGACGUCAAAUCAGCAUGGCUUUUACGUCUGGGGCUACACACAUGAUACAAUGGUAUGUACAAAGGGCAGCAACAGGGUAACCUUGAGCUAAUCCUAAAAGCAUAUCUUAG
This 920-nucleotide ribosomal RNA is filed under the name uncultured Campylobacterota bacterium. RNAcentral describes it as "bacterial SSU rRNA". It matches the Rfam family "Bacterial small subunit ribosomal RNA", at positions 335 to 1291 of the family's 1533-position model. Lineage: Bacteria; Pseudomonadati; Campylobacterota. The record is from RNAcentral.